UCAUAUACUAAUGCCAUAAAAUCAUUUCCUUCAAAAUCUACACUUGAGCAAGACGUUAAGACUUUGACAAGAUUGCGAUGCCGGAUGUUUCUAAGGGCUUCACAUUCGGCGAUGAAACUCUUGGAAGCACCUCUUUGGUUAAUGAUAAAAACUUUU
This is a long non-coding RNA of Telopea speciosissima, 156 nucleotides long. RefSeq lists it as uncharacterized. The transcript has 3 exons. The record is from RefSeq and is a predicted model, not a curated record. Lineage: Eukaryota; Viridiplantae; Streptophyta; Magnoliopsida; Proteales; Proteaceae.